GCAAGUCANGCGAACNGACGAGGAGCUUGCUCCUUUGACCUUAGCGGCGGACGGGUGAGUAACACGUAGGUAACCUACCUAUAANACUGGGAUAACUUCGGGAAACCGGAGCUAAUACCGGAUAAUAUUUCGAACCGCAUGGUUCGAUAGUGAAAGAUGGCUUUGCUAUCACUUAUAGAUGGACCUGCGCCGUAUUAGCUAGUUGGUAAGGUAACGGCUUACCAAGGCAACGAUACGUAGCCGACCUGAGAGGGUGAUCGGCCACACUGGAACUGAGACACGGUCCAGACUCCUACGGGAGGCAGCAGUAGGGAAUCUUCCGCAAUGGGCGAAAGCCUGACGGAGCAACGCCGCGUGAGUGAUGAAGGUCUUCGGAUCGUAAAACUCUGUUAUUAGGGAAGAACAAACGUGUAAGUAACUGUGCACGUCUUGACGGUACCUAAUCAGAAAGCCACGGCUAACUACGUGCCAGCAGCCGCGGUAAUACGUAGGUGGCAAGCGUUAUCCGGAAUUAUUGGGCGUAAAGCGCGCGUAGGCGGUUUUUUUAAGUCUGAUGUGAAGCCCACGGCUCANCCGUGGAGGGUCAUUGGAAACUGGAAACUUGAGUGCAGAAAAGGAAAGUGGAUUCCAUGUGUACCGGUGAAAUGCGCAAAGAUAUGGAGAACACCGUGGCGAAGCANCUUCUGUCUGUAACUGACCUGAUUGCGAAACGUGGGGAUCAACAGGAUNAAUACCUGGUAUCC
RNAcentral lists this ribosomal RNA (743 nucleotides) under uncultured Staphylococcus sp. RNAcentral's name for it is "bacterial SSU rRNA". It matches the Rfam family "Bacterial small subunit ribosomal RNA", at positions 57 to 796 of the family's 1533-position model. The record is from RNAcentral. Lineage: Bacteria; Bacillati; Bacillota; Bacilli; Caryophanales; Staphylococcaceae.